GUCAUGGUAGUUUAGAACCAAACCACUAGGUCGUGGCCCUAGCAACAGAAGAACUCAUUAAAACCUUCUCCAUGACC
RNAcentral lists this transfer RNA (77 nucleotides) under Uromastyx benti (Yemeni spiny-tailed lizard). Its description in RNAcentral is "tRNA-His". The record is from RNAcentral. Lineage: Eukaryota; Metazoa; Chordata; Lepidosauria; Squamata; Agamidae.